Molecule: long non-coding RNA, 702 nt
Organism: Dicentrarchus labrax (European seabass)
Lineage: Eukaryota; Metazoa; Chordata; Actinopteri; Moronidae
Exons: 3
Source: RefSeq, a predicted model, not a curated record
AUGUCCACUGUGUUUUGCUAGCAUGCUUGUAGUUGACACGUUGAAGAUGACUAAGAAUUCAGUAUUUGCUCUUUGUGAAAUCCAAAAAGGCUUGCUGCAAGAUAAUUGACCAUGUUUUUAUUUUCUUCUGUCCAACAGCUCCAGCCCAUUCUCCCUCCUACCUUUACCUCUCCUUGGCUUUUUCUAUAGUAAACCAACGGCUCUUUUAAGAGCCACUCCUCUACUGCACUCGCUCUCUCUCUGUCACACACACACUCUCACACACCCCUCUCUAUCUCUUUCUCUCUCUCUCUCUCUCUCUCUCUCUCUCUCUCUCUCUCUCUCUCUAUAUAUAUAUAUAUAUAUAUAUAUAUAUUUGUUUGUUUGUUUACCUGUCUGUUUGUCUGCGUCUGCCUUAAAUGGCUGAUCCGCGGGGCAGUGGGAAGGCAGCGGAUGCUCUUUUCCUAGCAGAAAAGUUACUGGCUGAAUAUAAAGAAAGGGAGGCAAAGAAAAAAUCUGCAUCCACUACACCUGCUGAAGGCAGUAAGCCUACUGUCCGAUGGGUGGAGAGAGAUGCAGAUGGACGUCGAAUCUUAAAAAGAAGCAGAAGUGGAGAGACACGGAAAAAACGUGCAUCGGCUACAGUUUCUGUUGCCCCUAAGGAGGCCUCUACUUCUUUUGAGCCUGCUGAGGAGGUUCCCACAGUGACCCAAGACACCCGUU